UAAACUUAUCAAGUUUAAUCUUAAAACCAGAUAGAUCUUUUGCCCCCACUGCUUCCCUUGGAAGGCUAUUCCAAAACUUCACUCCUCUGAUGGUUAGAAACCUUCGUCUACUUGCCCCAGGGUCUACAAUUUAGCUACCUAGGGAACUUUUACAGUGGAAAGGUAGGCACCAAGUGAAUUUAGGUGCUUACAGGGUUAGGUGACAGCCAAGCAGGAGUUUUAUGGAUCUCAGUGAUGCAUAUGGGGACUUAGGCACCUAACUCUGGAGUUUAGGUAUUUAAGUCGCUUUGUGGAUCACAUCAAAAGCUUGUUGAAUUAUCAGUAAGGAAACAACCAUUUAAGAGGGAAUGGGAGUUUUGACUACUUAUUCAAACCAUUUUUUAACAACAGAUGAUCAGCUGGAGGGAGAUAUGGUAGAUGGGUCUUUAAUCUUUCUAGUAUGGCUGAGCAGACAUAGAAUGCAAACCACCCUGCUUAUCUAGUCUGCCUGGCCUAAUGAAAUGCUAGGGGCACUUACUACAUUAACUGUCAACAUUAUUUACUAUUUAUAGCUUUACCACUCUAAGUGCCAUCAGAGAAUGUUCUUGAUGAGAAGAAAUAGGAGACAGUCUGCUCCAGCUUCCCUCCACAAUAUGAGACUUGAGCUGCAGAGAAGAUGGGGACUUUGGUUGUGGGUGCUAACAGAAAACUCUGGAUCCAUGACUUUUGGUGACUCCUAAGAAGCUUGUACACUGCCAUCCUGUGUUGGAGGCAAGUACUCCUUACUGGAAAUACACAGACGUGAACAUGUUUCCUUCAUGGCAUCUAGUAUGUUGUAUUUUUCUCCACCUGAGUUAACUGAUGUUUCCUUUCAGCUGCAACUGACAUUUUUAGUUCUCCUCCAGAGACAGGAUUUGUUUGCAAGUCUAUAAUAUUAAAUCACAAAAUACUACAUUGUGUGUCAAUUAAGACUGGUCUAUACACAACAUACCUAACACAAAAGCAAUAGUUAAGACAUCGUACCCUCUAUUCCAUUUAGAGAGAGAGACACCUCACCAUUGGAGCAAUCGUCAUACACCCUUAACUUUGCCCUAGUAUGGAUGCUAGUCUUCCAGCAACCACUCCUCCAAGCUUUCAUACCCACCACAGAGACAAGACUAAGGCCUGGUCUACACCUAAAACUUUGGUCGUCCUAGCUACGUUGCUCAGAGUGUGAAAAAUUCGCAUCCCUGAAAGACAUAGUUAAGCCAAACUAAGCCCCAGUGUAGCUACCACUAGGUCAAUGAAAGAAUUCUGUCUCUGAGGAGGGUGGGUGGAUGUACUACAGCUACAACAAAACCCCUUCCAUCACUGUAGCAAGUGUCUAUACUACAGCAGUGGAGCUGCAGCUGUGCCACUGUAGUGCUUGUAAUGUAGACAUACUCUAUGGCAGUGGUUUUCAACCUGUGGUCUGCAGACCCCUGGGCAUCCGCAGGCUAUGUCUCAGGGAUCCGUGAAAGGUGACUAUGAAAAUAAAGUUUCAGAUCCCAGAAAAGGCAUUCCAUUUUUCUGAUCAAUCAAAAGUAUGUGACUACCUCCACCUACAGGUCAAAACCUGGAAGAAGUGUUGUUACCAUAGAAGGCCACAGUUUUGCACCCUUUCUCAUCCUGCAUCAAAUGCAGGACCUGAAUAGUGAUGGAUUUAUCAGGGAUCUUCCCUAGGGCCUGUGGUUCGAAACCACCUGCUUAAUAGGCUCCUAACUAAAGACUCACCACAAGAAUCUGGAUAACCUGAUAAUCUGCUGCAAAAUAUGAUGUCGGAUAAACAACUGGAGAUCAUUGACGAUGUCAGACUGCAGUUUAUCAGUAUCUGAUCUUCUGAUAUUGGCCAAAGUUUCGGCAGGCCCACUAUGGCCUGAACUUGAAUAAAUUCCCUCACCCCCCUACAGAUCUCUGCGCUAUCCUAAGAGCAGUGAUAGUCAAGGUUCUGAAGUGUCUGAGGCAUCUGUUUGGGGUCCUUGUUGGCUCCCAGUACCAAGUCUUGAAAUCUAUUCACCUGUAAUUGAGACAAAUGUUGGCUAUGUCACCUUUAAUCCCAGGGAUGUGUUUAGUGGUAAAACAGCUGUUACAGGUUUAAACAUUACAGGAUAAAUACUCUCACCAGCCCCAACAUGCUUAGUGAUUUGAAUAACUAGCUGUUAAUAACAUGCACUACCGCCAGGUUUUCACUCCAGAAUCUCACUCUUUUGUUUGCAGACUGCACCCCGUAAUUUUGUCACUGCAGCUAAAAUGAGAGGAAGUUCCAUGAAAGUCAUGUCCUCAACUACUCCCCUUUGUAUCGAAUCAGUGGGCCAUCUCUGAGCAUGCCAUGUGCUUUGAUAGAAAAGUUUUAUCCAGAUGCCCCUGGAUUGAACUUUUAGGUCUACCUUUGCUAUCGACCAAGUCUAUCCAUGCCAUCUUUAAGAUCAAUUAUAUUGAAAGCCACCAGGGCUAUAAAUACCAUCCUGGUUACUAUUAAAAAGAGGUGGUUAAAUUCCAGAAUUAUAGCUUACAAAAAACCAGACUGUAAGUUCACAUCACUCUGACUCCUAUCUUAUCCACCUCCCCUCUCCUCCACCUUGAGUCCUAUCUUAUUUUACAGCUGCUUUGACAAGAACUGCUAGAGUUAGAAUCAGUACUUACACUUCGGAAAGUUUGGAAUUCUACCUUUCAAAUAGCUAGAAAAUCAUUAAUUUCUACUUUUAGUGGUUCCUGAGAUACUGCUACUUAACCAUGCCAGGGUUGUAUGAUGACACAGUCUCACUGGGUAGAGAUGAUGAAGAAGCUAUUAAUGGCAGGGUGAACUUGAACAAAGGAGAGUGCAUUUCUUCAAAACUGUUGUUGAAUUAAGUGAUGCAGAAUACAAUAUGCUGUUCAUAUUCAAUGGACACAUGCUGAAUGCAGCAAUACUAUUGUCCUCAAUUAUCCUGUAAUACUUCUCUUUAAAAUAUUGCAUCCUUCUGGUAUGAAUUCCAUAGUAAAAAGAGUAUUUUAUUUUCUUUCAAAAUGAUUCAAAUACUUAAAAGAACAUGCAUCAUUAGAUAGGUUAAUAAGUUAGAUGUCUUGACUGACUACUUGUUCUGCACUACUUGGAUAUGCACAGAAUGUCAAUUUAAUAUCCCUUCCAGAGUAUAUAAUCAUCUCCUUAAAACUUCUGCUUCUAAAAUGAAAAGAUGAAGUUUUUCUUGUAGCAUUCUAGUUUUGUAUGUAAUGAAAUUAGUGCUAUGGUAUAAAUAAUGCAAGCUGCUUCUCUGAAGAAUCCCAUCAUAAAGACUGCAUUUAGUAUGUGCUAAUUCAAGUUUUAAUGUAAUGUUGCCAUAAAGUUUGUUGAGUUCCUUAUGGAAACAUUACAUUACCCUUCCUUAGUUUUAGGCAUAGAAAAAACAAAUUUUUCAACUGAUGAAAGAAAUGCUAGUGUCUGAAAGUGUGCGUGAUUUGCUUUUUUUAAACACGUGGUUCUUUUCCUCUCUUUUCUUUUCUCCACCACAGCCCUCAUUUACGUUUGUAGGGAGCUGAGUCCUCACUACUACAAUGGAUUUCUUCAUUGCAAUUCUUAUCAAGAGUAGCCAUUGAUAGUUGUACUGAUUUCAAACUGCAAUGCCAAUAUUCCUUCCUUCAGUCUUUAUUGUUGAUAUGUUACAAAAUACAUGAAAGAGUAAUUCUUUAAAUGACAGAGUAAUUAACUUUUAGUAAAUCUUUAAAAGGUGGAAACACUUUAUGCAUAAAAAUAACAUGUGAACCA
Long non-coding RNA from Chelonia mydas (Green sea turtle), 3739 nucleotides. RefSeq lists it as uncharacterized. NCBI's taxonomy places the organism in Eukaryota, Metazoa, Chordata, Testudines, Cheloniidae. The record is from RefSeq and is a predicted model, not a curated record. The transcript is spliced from 2 exons.